AGGUAUCGGAAUGCAUUGAUAAAGUGAAUAUUACAGAUUUUCUUGAACAAAAAGGUAGUUCAAGCGUUUAACAUGCUCUCAAAGGUCGGAGGGGCAGAAAUACGUGAUAAUGUGAAAAGAAACAUGAAUCAUGGGAAAUGAAAAUGAUAUUACAAACGCCAUUGGCCAUUAACAUGUUACAUCCUCCGGACAGACGAGGGGUGGUGAGAGAAGGUCAUAUAUCUAAAGGCAUCAUACCUCCAAAUUCGUGCUAAUUCUCGUGGAUAUUUAAAAGUACAUUUGUGUAUAACUUUGUGAAGUAACUAAAAGGAAGUAAUUUAUACGUUAGUGACAAUUAUCAAAAGGAGGUCAAAAUAUGAAAAAUACCACUAAAUGUUUUAGUAAUGCUGUAGAAAUAUAGUUAAAAUACUGAAUAUCUAUCAUUAAUUGCUUGAAACAUUAUUAUCCGAAUCUUUUAACUUUUCUUAAAAUUAAAAUAUUUUCAUUAUUUUGU
Molecule: long non-coding RNA, 493 nt
Organism: Ruditapes philippinarum (Manila clam)
Lineage: Eukaryota; Metazoa; Mollusca; Bivalvia; Venerida; Veneridae
Exons: 3
Source: RefSeq, a predicted model, not a curated record